This is a long non-coding RNA of Oncorhynchus keta (chum salmon), 405 nucleotides long. RefSeq lists it as uncharacterized. Lineage: Eukaryota; Metazoa; Chordata; Actinopteri; Salmoniformes; Salmonidae. The record is from RefSeq and is a predicted model, not a curated record. The transcript has 4 exons.
CAUCUGAGUUAGUGAGGUGUAGUCUGGUAGGAACAUCUGAGUUAGUGAGGUGUAGUCUGGUGGGGACAGAACAUCUGAGUUAGUGAGGUGUAGUCUGGUGGGGAACAGAACAUCUGAGUUAGUGAGGUGUAGUCUGGUAGGGACAUCUGAGUUAGUGAGGUGUAGUCUGGUAGGAACAUCUGAGUUAGUGAGGUGUAGUCUGGUAGGAACAUCUGAGUUAGUGAGCUGUAGUCUGGGGGAACAUCUGAGUUAGUGAGGUGUAGUCUGGUAGGAACAUCUGAGUUAGUGAGCUGUAGUCUGGGGGAACAUCUGAGUUAGUGAGGUGUAGUCUGGUGGGGACAUCUGAGUUAGUGAGGUGUAGUCUGAUGGGGAACAGAACAUCUGAGUUAGUGAGGUGUAGUCUGG